Molecule: ribosomal RNA, 504 nt
Filed under: uncultured bacterium
Lineage: Bacteria
Description: partial 16S ribosomal RNA
Rfam family: Bacterial small subunit ribosomal RNA
Source: RNAcentral
ACGAACGCUGGCGGCGUGCCUAAUACAUGCAAGUAGAACGCACAGUUUAUACCGUAGCUUGCUACACCAUAAACUGUGAGUUGCGAACGGGUGAGUAACGCGUAGGUAACCUGCCUGGUAGCGGGGGAUAACUAUUGGAAACGAUAGCUAAUACCGCAUAAUAUUGAUUAUUGCAUGAUAAUUGAUUGAAAGAUGCUAUUGCAUCACUACCAGAUGGACCUGCGUUGUAUUAGCUAGUAGGUGAGGUAACGGCUCACCUAGGCGACGAUACAUAGCCGACCUGAGAGGGUGAUCGGCCACACUGGGACUGAGACACGGCCCAGACUCCUACGGGAGGCAGCAGUAGGGAAUCUUCGGCAAUGGACGAAAGUCUGACCGAGCAACGCCGCGUGAGUGAAGAAGGUUUUCGGAUCGUAAAGCUCUGUUGUAAGAGAAGAACGGGUGUGAGAGUGGAAAGUUCACACUGUGACGGUAUCUGACCAGAAAGGGACGGCUAACUACGUG